Molecule: small nuclear RNA, 107 nt
Filed under: Ovis aries (sheep)
Lineage: Eukaryota; Metazoa; Chordata; Mammalia; Artiodactyla; Bovidae
Source: RNAcentral
GUGCUUGCUUUGGCAGCACAUAUACUGAAAUUGGAAUGAUACAGAGAAGAUUAGCAUGGCCCCUGUGAAAGGAUGACAUGCAAAUUUGUGAAGCGUUCCAUAUUUUU